RNAcentral lists this non-coding RNA (29 nucleotides) under Mus musculus (house mouse). Lineage: Eukaryota; Metazoa; Chordata; Mammalia; Rodentia; Muridae. The record is from RNAcentral.
UCCUUAACAGUCACAUGACCACAGUAUGC